AUCUAGCUGUAACGCACCGUUUCAACAAGCAUCCAAACAAUGUAAUGCCAUACAUGUGAAUUGCUGUGUGUAGUCUUUGCCUAUCAUCUCAUGAUGGGCUUUUUUUUAU
This 109-nucleotide non-coding RNA is filed under the name Serratia fonticola. Lineage: Bacteria; Pseudomonadati; Pseudomonadota; Gammaproteobacteria; Enterobacterales; Yersiniaceae. The record is from RNAcentral.